AUACUUACCUGGCAGGGGAGACACCAUGAUCAAGAAGGUGGUUCACUCAGGGCGAGACUUGGCCAUUGCACGCCGGCCGUGCUGACCGCUGCAAAUUCCCCAAAUUUAGGAACCUCAGACUGCAUUUGUGCUCUUGGGGCAGUCGUGGCCUAA
Molecule: small nuclear RNA, 153 nt
Filed under: Sinocyclocheilus grahami
Lineage: Eukaryota; Metazoa; Chordata; Actinopteri; Cypriniformes; Cyprinidae
Description: U1 spliceosomal RNA (ENSSGRG00000009089.1)
Rfam family: U1 spliceosomal RNA
About the family: U1 is a small nuclear RNA (snRNA) component of the spliceosome (involved in pre-mRNA splicing). Its 5' end forms complementary base pairs with the 5' splice junction, thus defining the 5' donor site of an intron. There are significant differences in sequence and secondary structure between metazoan and yeast U1 snRNAs, the latter being much longer (568 nucleotides as compared to 164 nucleotides in human).
Source: RNAcentral